RNAcentral lists this unclassified non-coding RNA (495 nucleotides) under Hevea brasiliensis (rubber tree). Lineage: Eukaryota; Viridiplantae; Streptophyta; Magnoliopsida; Malpighiales; Euphorbiaceae. The record is from RNAcentral.
AAAGAUGAGGGCAGCAAUGAGAGGAAAAGAGCUGGCAGCAAUUGGCAAUAACUCAGAACAAGAGGUGACCCAAACACCAACAGAAAUAGAUAUCGUGACCCUGAAAGCAGAACUUGAGAAUGUAAAGGAAAAGAUGGCAGAACUGCAAAGAGACUACUCUGAGCUGCAACAUGAAUAUGCAAUGCUAAACAACAACCAUAAAAAUUUGUCUGGCUGGAUUCUCAGUUGGAAAAAGAUCAGGAAAUCAGCUCUUUUCAAUAGAAAAGUAGAUGGGGAUGAAUCCAGUGAAGAACAGCAGAGAUCUAAACCACUGGCCCACAAAGGCAAAUUCAGAAGAAGACAAUCUGUAUCAUAGUUUUAUAAUAAUAAAAUAUAAACAAAUAAGAAAUAUAAAUAAAGUAUCAAUUGUGAUCAAGUUCAUUUAAUUCCACAGUUGCACUGUUUUCUUAAGGCGAGGCAUAGAGAAAAUUGAUAAAUCCUUAGUUCACAUGUAGA